CGACCGGCGCACGGGUGCGUAACGCGUAUGCAACCUACCUUUAACAGGGGGAUAACACUGAGAAAUUGGUACUAAUACCCCAUAAUAUCAUAGAAGGCAUCUUUUAUGGUUGAAAAUUCCGAUGGUUAGAGAUGGGCAUGCGUUGUAUUAGCUAGUUGGUGGGGUAACGGCUCACCAAGGCGACGAUACAUAGGGGGACUGAGAGGCUAACCCCCACACUGGUACUGAGACACGGACCAG
RNAcentral lists this ribosomal RNA (240 nucleotides) under uncultured bacterium. RNAcentral describes it as "partial 16S ribosomal RNA". It matches the Rfam family "Bacterial small subunit ribosomal RNA", at positions 92 to 334 of the family's 1533-position model. The record is from RNAcentral.